Molecule: ribosomal RNA, 253 nt
Filed under: uncultured bacterium
Lineage: Bacteria
Description: partial 16S ribosomal RNA
Rfam family: Bacterial small subunit ribosomal RNA
Source: RNAcentral
GACGAACCGUGCGAACGUUAUUCGGAAUCACUGGGCUUAAAGCGUGUGUAGGCGGAUUUGUAAGUACCUUGUGAAAUCCCACGGCUUAACCGUGGAACUGCUUGGUAUACUGCUUAUCUUGAGCCACUUAGGGGCAACCGGAACAAACGGUGGAGCGGUGAAAUGCGUAGAUAUCGUUUGGAACGCCAAUGGUGAAAACAGGUUGCUGGGAGUGUGCUGACGCUGAGACACGAAAGCCAGGGGAGCGAACGGG